RNAcentral lists this ribosomal RNA (465 nucleotides) under Vreelandella stevensii. Its description in RNAcentral is "partial 16S ribosomal RNA". It matches the Rfam family "Bacterial small subunit ribosomal RNA", at positions 338 to 795 of the family's 1533-position model. The record is from RNAcentral. Lineage: Bacteria; Pseudomonadati; Pseudomonadota; Gammaproteobacteria; Oceanospirillales; Halomonadaceae.
CCUACGGGUGGCUGCAGUGGGGAAUAUUGGACAAUGGGGGGAACCCUGAUCCAGCCAUGCCGCGUGUGUGAAGAAGGCCCUCGGGUUGUAAAGCACUUUCAGUGAGGAAGAACGCCUGGUGGUUAAUACCCAUCAGGCCAGACAUCACUCACAGAAGAAGCACCGGCUAACUCCGUGCCAGCAGCCGCGGUAAUACGGAGGGUGCGAGCGUUAAUCGGAAUUACUGGGCGUAAAGCGCGCGUAGGUGGCUUGAUAAGCCGGUUGUGAAAGCCCCGGGCUCAACCUGGGAACGGCAUCCGGAACUGUCAAGCUAGAGUGCAGGAGAGGAAGGUAGAAUUCCCGGUGUAGCGGUGAAAUGCGUAGAGAUCGGGAGGAAUACCAGUGGCGAAGGCGGCCUUCUGGACUGACACUGACACUGAGGUGCGAAAGCGUGGGUAGCAAACAGGAUUAGAUACCCCUGUAGUC